Molecule: ribosomal RNA, 301 nt
Filed under: uncultured bacterium
Lineage: Bacteria
Description: partial 16S ribosomal RNA
Rfam family: Bacterial small subunit ribosomal RNA
Source: RNAcentral
CAGCAGCCACGGUAAUACGUAGGGUGCAAGCGUUAAUCGGAAUUACUGGGCGUAAAGCGUGCGCAGGCGGUUUGUUAAGACAGAUGUGAAAUCCCCGGGCUCAACCUGGGAACUGCAUUUGUGACUGGCAAGCUAGAGUAUGGCAGAGGGGGGUGGAAUUCCGCGUGUAGCAGUGAAAUGCGUAGAUAUGCGGAGGAACACCGAUGGCGAAGGCAGCCCCCUGGGCCAAUACUGACGCUCAUGCACGAAAGCGUGGGGAGCAAACAGGAUUAGAUACCCGCGUAGUCCCUGUCUCUUAUAC